UCUGACGGAGCAACGCCGCGUGAACGAAGAAGGUCUUCGGAUUGUAAAGUUCUGUGAUUCGGGACGAAAGGGUUUGUGGUGAAUAAUCAUAGACAUUGACGGUACCGAAAAAGCAAGCCACGGCUAACUACGUGCCAGCAGCCGCGGUAAUACGUAGGUGGCAAGCGUUGUCCGGAAUUAUUGGGCGUAAAGCGCGCGCAGGCGGUUUCUUAAGUCCAUCUUAAAAGCGUGGGGCUCAACCCCAUGAGGGGAUGGAAACUGGGAAGCUGGAGUAUCGGAGAGGAAAGUGGAAUUCCUAGUGUAGCGGUGAAAUGCGUAGAGAUUAGGAAGAACACCGGUGGCGAAGGCGACUUUCUAGACGAAAACUGACGCUGAGGCGCGAAAGCGUGGGGAGCAAACAGGAUUAGAUACCCUGGUAGUCCACGCCGUAAACGAUGGAUACUAGGUGUAGGAGGUAUCGACCCCUCCUGUGCCGGAGUUAACGCAAUAAGUAUCCCGCCUGGGGAAGUACGAUCGCAAGAUUAAAAUCAAAGGAAUUGACGGGGGCCCGCACAAGCGGUGGAGUAUGUGGUUUAAUUCGACGCAACGCGAGAACCUACCAGCUGAC
This 607-nucleotide ribosomal RNA is filed under the name Dialister pneumosintes. RNAcentral's name for it is "bacterial SSU rRNA". It matches the Rfam family "Bacterial small subunit ribosomal RNA", at positions 382 to 982 of the family's 1533-position model. The record is from RNAcentral. Lineage: Bacteria; Bacillati; Bacillota; Negativicutes; Veillonellales; Veillonellaceae.